GAUAAAAUAGGUAUUUUAAAAAACUUUCAUAAGCUUCCUCCAACCUUCUCUCCAUUUCUCUCCAAUUUGGGAGGAAAACUUUUACUUACUAUUUAUCCUCUUAAAUCCUUAAAUCCUUCCAUUUCUCUUCUUUUCUUUCCUAAUAAAACUAACAAACGAAGGAAAUGUUCACUUUCUCUUCUUUCCCCUUCUUUUCUCUCAAAAUCAUCCACUCUCUUAACGAACUGGCGUGAUGUAGUGGUGCAUUGGGAUUGUCUGUUUCUGACACUGUUUUGAUCAAUUUGGGAUAAUGUUGGUUUGUGCACUUGGUUGUUGAGUUAAAUCCUUGUUUCUUUCAAGUCGACUUCUAUUUACCUGUUUGUCUUGAGUAUGUUGGAUAGGAUCCUCUUCCUGAAAAUUCUAACAUUCUACUGUUUCUUAUCUAGUCUACAUAAAGGCCUUAGGACAGGAAGUACAUUUUGGCUGCCUUUAUGAGGUAGGGAAGCCUUAUUAGCAUUUUUUUCUCGAUGAGAUUUAAGUUUGCCUUGCCUCAGAAGACAAAAUCCCAGAUCAAGUUUGGAAAGUGGAAAAGUUGGUUCUGUGUUAGUUUAGUGUGGGAAAUUCAAACCUUAUGCAUCUCUAGUACAUAGAAUGAAUCAGAAUAUUGUCAAAUGAAGCUUGAUCUUUCUUUCCUCUGACUUAGAUAAUAUGUUUGGGCUUGCCAAUAAUUAUAAUACUCACUUUUGCUUAGCUAAGCUUUGCUGUUGCUUAUAAUGGUAUUUGUUUUCUUAAUUCUAUGGGUCAUAACCUUCUUCAUCAUGCUCCCUAGUUUACUACUUCAAUUUGGCUGGGACUGGCAUUUGUAUGCAUUAUUCUCUAAGUGAGGAGAUCCACAUGUCAUGUCCUGAAUAUUGCCACUAAACCUUUCUAAUCAUCAAUAUCUGAAGAAUAUUUGCCUUACUGUCGUCAAAGGACGCACAAUUCUUUGACCUUUUCUGCUGGUCGACUUUCCUUCAAAAAAAAAAAAAAAAGUAAAUCGAGAAAACAUAUAAAAGUAGAAUUCUAUUAGUAAAGACUGUUAAAAGUGAAUUAUUAUGGCUCCCUGAGUUUUCUUGUCUUCCACUAUAUUUAACAUUCCUUGAACUUUUCUUUUGGCUGCACUACAGUUUGUUGCCCUGAUAACUAAAAAGAAGAUGACUGAAUACACAUAAUUAUUAAAUUGUCUAAUAAAAGAGGAAAGUGAAGAGCUAGCUGUAAGUAACCAGGCGACCAGAACACAGAAAGUAAAACUAAAAAUUAUGCUCCCUGCAUCCAUGUUGCACUUGGAGAUGAAUACUUUGAAAUAUGAGCUAACAGCAAUUAGUUCUCACUGAGCAUAUCAUUGUGAUUAUGGAGCAUAUUGUAAUACCACCCCUCUGAUAUAUGAUGCUGGGCUCCAUAUUUCAAGGCUUGUGAACUCUGGCAAUCACCACUUCAUUCACUUCACAGAAGCUUACAUUAAUGUGUCAAAAUUGAGAGGUUAAUUAGGAUGAUUCUAACUUUGAGGGGAGAGGAUUUUCUUGUAUGAAUUUGUCACUGAUGCAUAUAUUUAAUGUCGUUAUUGGUUUUACUUGAAUUUUAAGCCAAGUAUUCAGCUGUGCGUUAUGCAGAAAGUAUUCAUUAAUUUAUUCAUGAAAAUUUUAUUAAUUUUUUGUCACAUUAUUCAAGAAACUUUCAUGCUUCUAUCUUUUGAACUCUGUGUUUCUACAAUAAAUGUAGAAUAACAUCUUCUGCUAUCUUGUGGAACAGAGGUAAAUGCUAGAUUGUAAAUAUUCAGUUACUAUAGGAAAAAGUAAUUGAUUGCAAUUGAACCUAAAUCUGCAGAUGAUGAAGAAGAUUAGAGCUCAUCAAUUUGGAGAGCUCACAAGCUGUGGACAGCCGUAUAAUGCACUGUAGACAUUCAUAGCUUGGUCUCUGUCUGUAAUGGUCUUCUUCUUCUCCUUUUAGUUUAGACUUGCAGCAUUAAUGCUUUUGAAAUGCUGUCAUAUUCUGAAUUUUCUUAUGCAAGAGUUUCAUCAUCAAUAAUAUACUGUAAAGUUCCCUGGCUGCAAAUCCAUUGAGUGAGAAGGAACGACUCUUUUGUUAUGAUUGAUUACUUAGGAAUUGAAUUUGUUAGCUACAUGUAAAAUAUGAUCAUUUACUUUCUUUGUUCACUUCAAAAGCUAUGAAUGAAAACUCAUUCAAUUCCAUGUUGACUCUUCGUUUUGUAUUGUACUUUUGAGCUUUAGGUAGGUAGUGAAAUCUGGUUGGAGGUCUAAUUUUAGAUACAGUAGUAGCUAUUUUUGGAUCAUAAAUGGAGCAGCACUGCUGCUGAAAUGGUGCAUAUAAAGUUGGUAAUAAAUGCUGCACCCACUAACCACUGAACGGAGGUGGAGUUGGAUCACACCUGCACCAUAUUCUCAUCCCGAAUUCAUGUGCACAAGGGCACAUUAUAUUCUGCAGUUAUUCAGAGGUUCUCUUAGCUUUUUAUGGAAGUGAGCAAAUAGGUAAUUUGAUUGAUUUGUGAUGCAUAAGGUUCAGUUUUGAUCCUUGGCUUAUCCAUGGUUGUUUGUUACGAGCUUGGUCUACAGAAUACUGCCCUUUACCACGAUCUUGGUUGUGUGGGAAAGGAAAUAGGCAAUACGCGGGAGGAAAAACCUUUUCUAAUUUCUACCCUGUUUCUUGAUAAUGAUGAGAGUGGAAGAGUUUCAUCUUCACAUCCUUCAGAUUGUUUUGUUUGUCUUGCCAUGUUAAUUAAAUGCACAAAAAGUGAAUUGUACAAACGUGAACUAGAAACAAUGGAUUUUGAGUUCAAUCUUGCUGAGUAAUCAAAAGGUCAAUUCUGCAUACGCCAAUUGUUCACAUAAUAAAAUUUCUCUUCUUCAAGAAAAACCAAUCGCUAUUUCAGGAGGCCUACACAUAUGGAUCAGGACUCAUCUUCUCAGAUUGAACCAUCCUGUCGUUAAAUAUAUGCAGCAAUAGAUCACAGGCUUGCCGUGAUGUUGGUCUUUCAAAAGGUGCAGUUUUCGUACAUUGCAGUGCCAUUUCUAGCACUUGGAACGCACCAUUUUCUUCAUGGGGUAAGAGUGGCUUCAAUGCAGGAUCAAUUAUCUCCUCGCGAGCAGAUCCUUGCAUUUCAAUGCGGGAUUCAACCCAUCUUACCAUGUCUAUGUCCUCGCCAAAAUUCCCAUCAGUUGGCAUUCUUCCACUCACUAGCUCCAUGAGCACAAUGCCCAUGCUGUAUACAUCACUCUUCUCUGUUGCUUUCAAAGAAUAAGCAUACUCUGC
Molecule: long non-coding RNA, 3285 nt
Filed under: Coffea arabica (coffee)
Lineage: Eukaryota; Viridiplantae; Streptophyta; Magnoliopsida; Gentianales; Rubiaceae
Description: long non-coding RNA (CARA_LNC006187)
Source: RNAcentral